RNAcentral lists this ribosomal RNA (323 nucleotides) under uncultured eukaryote. Its description in RNAcentral is "partial 18S ribosomal RNA". It matches the Rfam family "Eukaryotic small subunit ribosomal RNA", at positions 1470 to 1796 of the family's 1831-position model. The record is from RNAcentral.
CCCCUAGAUGUUCUGGGCCGCACGCGCGCUACACUGAACAGUUCAACAAGUCUUAACCUUGGCCGAUAGGUCUGGGUAAUCUUUGAACGCUGUUCGUGAUUGGGAUAGACCUUUGCAAUUAUGGGUCUUCAACGAGGAAUUCCUAGUAAACGCAAGCCAUCAGCUUGCAUUGAUUACGUCCCUGCCCUUUGUACACACCGCCCGUCGCACCUACCGAUUGAGUGAUCCGGUGAAUUAUUCGGACUGCAACGCGCCCAGUUCCUGGAUGCUGUUGCGGUAAGUUUUGUGAACCUUACCACUUAGAGGAAGGAGAAGUCGUAACA